GGAAGGAUCAUUACUGAAUUUGGAACUUUUGUUCCUAUUUCAUUUCAAACACCUGUGAACUUUUUUAAUAUUUGCUUUGGACUACAUUAUUUAGGUAGUGUAGUCCAAAGAAUAAACUAAAAACUCUUAUUUUUAAACAUAUUGUCUGAAAAUGAUUAUUAAAUAAAUCAAAACUUUCAACAACGGAUCUCUUGGUUCUCGCAUCGAUGAAGAACGCAGCGAAAUGCGAUACGUAAUGUGAAUUGCAGAAUUGUGAAUCAUCGAAUCUUUGAACGCACAUUGCGCCUUUUGGUAUUCCAGAAGGCAUACUUGUUUGAGCGUCAUUUCACUCUUAAAACAAUUAUUUUGUUUUAGUCUUGAGUUUAUUUCUCAUUACGAGAAUAACUUGAAAUGAAUUGGCACAAGCGAAUCAUAUUGGCUUAAACAACGUAAUAGGUUUUACCAACUCGUUGAUCUUGACAAUUUAAUUCAAGCUUUGGCAAUACAACCAAAACUUUUAAAAGUUUGACCUCAAAUCAAGCAAGAUUACCCGCUGAACUUAAGCAUAUCAAUAAGCGGAGGAAAAGAAACCAACAGGGAUUGCCUCAGUAACGGCGAGUGAAGCGGCAAAAGCUCAAAUUUGAAAUCUGGUACCUUCGGUAUCCGAGUUGUAAUUUGAAGAUGGUAACUUUGGAUUUGGUUCUUGUGUAAGUUCCUUGGAAUAGGGCUUCAUGGAGGGUGAGAAUCCCGUGUCGCGAGAAUACCAUUUCUAUGUAAAGUGCUAUCGAAGAGUCGAGUUGUUUGGGAUUGCAGCUCUAAGUGGGUGGUAAAUUCCAUCUAAAGCUAAAUAUUGGCGAGAGACCGAUAGCGAACAAGUACAGUGAUGGAAAGAUGAAAAGAACUUUGAAAAGAGAGUGAAAAAGUACGUGAAAUUGUUGAAAGGGAACGGUUUAAAAUCAGACUUGGUAGUCAAUGAUCAAUUUUCUCUUGGGAAGAUGCACUCGUUGAUUACUGGGCCAGCAUCGAUUUGGGUGGUGAGAUAAAAGAUAGUUGAAUGUGGCUCUUUUAGAGUGUUAUAGCUUCUAUCAUAAUAUCAUCAAUCUGGAUCGAGGACUGCUAUUACAGGAUGCUGGCGUAAUGGUUUUAAACUACCCGUCUUGAAACACGGACCAAGGAGUCUAACGUCUAUGCGAGUGUUUGGGUGUAAAACCCGUACGCGAAAUGAAAGUGAAUGAAGAUAAGGGCCUUUACGGGUGCAUUAUCGACCGAUCCUGAUGUUUUCGGAUGGAUUUGAGUAAGAGCAUAGCUGUUGGGACCCGAAAGAUGGUGAACUAUGCCUGAAUAGGGUGAAGCCAGAGGAAACUCUGGUGGAGGCUCGUAGCGGUUCUGACGUGCAAAUCGAUCGUCAAAUUUGGGUAUAGGGGCGAAAGACUAAUCGAACCAUCUAGUAGCUGGUUCCUGC
RNAcentral lists this unclassified non-coding RNA (1441 nucleotides) under uncultured fungus. RNAcentral describes it as "sequence contains 18S rRNA gene, ITS1, 5.8S rRNA gene, ITS2, 28S rRNA gene". The stretch from base 506 to 1441 matches the Rfam family "Eukaryotic large subunit ribosomal RNA", at positions 1 to 961 of the family's 3401-position model. The record is from RNAcentral. Lineage: Eukaryota; Fungi.